This 491-nucleotide ribosomal RNA is filed under the name uncultured bacterium. RNAcentral's name for it is "partial 16S ribosomal RNA". It matches the Rfam family "Bacterial small subunit ribosomal RNA", at positions 29 to 507 of the family's 1533-position model. The record is from RNAcentral.
GUGAACGCUGGCGGUAGGCCUAACCCAUGCCAGUCGAACGGCAGCACAGUAAGAGCUUGCUCUUACGGGUGGCGAGUGGCGGACGGGUGAGGAAUACAUCGGAAUCUACUUUUUCGUGGGGGAUAACGUAGGGAAACUUACGCUAAUACCGCAUACGACCUACGGGUGAAAGCAGGGGAUCUUCGGACCUUGCGCGAUUGAAUGAGCCGAUGUCGGAUUAGCUAGUUGGCGGGGUAAAGGCCCACCAAGGCGACGAUCCGUAGCUGGUCUGAGAGGAUGAUCAGCCACACUGGAACUGAGACACGGUCCAGACUCCUACGGGAGGCAGCAGUGGGGAAUAUUGGACAAUGGGCGCAAGCCUGAUCCAGCCAUACCGCGUGGGUGAAGAAGGCCUUCGGGUUGUAAAGCCCUUUUGUUGGGAAAGAAAAGCAGCAGGUUAAUACCCCGCUGUUCUGACGGUACCCAAAGAAGAAGCACCGGCUAACUUCGUG